Molecule: RNA transcript, 640 nt
Organism: Capra hircus (goat)
Lineage: Eukaryota; Metazoa; Chordata; Mammalia; Artiodactyla; Bovidae
Gene name: UDP-N-acetylglucosamine transferase subunit ALG13 homolog pseudogene
Exons: 2
Source: RefSeq, a predicted model, not a curated record
AUGGCGGCGAGCCGCCAGGACUCGAGACCCGAGCAAAGCUCUCAAAUCUCUCGCUACCUCGGCGAAUGUUGGCCAGACCUGAGCGCGUCUCCAAGGGGCGGAGCCCGCGUCGUUAGCUUGGUUUUUGUUACUGUAGGGACCACCAGCUUUGACGACCUCAUUGCGUGUGUAUUGGCACACGACAGUCUGCAAAUAAUCCAGAGCCUUGGUUACAACCGACUUGUCCUACAAAUAGGUAGAGGAAAGGUGGUACCUGAACCAUUCAGUACUGAGUCAUUCACUCUGGAUAUUUACAGGUAUAAGGAUUCUCUGAAGGAAGACCUUCAGAAAGCAGAUCUUGUUAUUAGUCACGCAGGUGCAGGAAGCUGUUUGGAGACUUUGGAGAAAAGAAAGCCACUUAUAGUGGUUAUAAAUGAAAGGUUGAUGAACAAUCAUCAACUGAAAUUGGCAAAGCAGCUACACAAAGACGGGCAUCUCUUCUACUGUACCUGCAGCAUGCUUCCUGGGCUGUUACAGUCAAUGGACUUAUCAACACUGAAAUGUUUUCUUCCUGGCCAGCCAGAAAAAUUUUCUGCAUUUUUGGAUAAAGUUGUUGGAUUACAAAAAUAAACACUAAACUCUCAACACUUUAAAACACCCC